CUUUUCCAGGUUCAUUUUUUCCUGGGUUCUGUGGAAUCAAGAUGGCUCUGCUUACUGUGAAUGCCUUCUGCUUGGGACUGGAAAUGUGAGGCCUUUUCCCAGUCAAGAAGCUUGACAGGUGCAUCCAUCUGGAGAAAGAGCCACCUAAAUGCAGGUCCUGUAGUUCUGUAUUCUUUUUGGAUUCACCUUUCAUCCCAAGAUGAUCCUGAAGUGAAAGGUUUUGGAUUGGAUCUUGUGGGCACCGAGCUAUCUACCAUAUUAUCUGCACUCAGCAUCCAGCAGGAGGUGAUGUAAUUUGGAUACAAAGACUAUAAAGAAAUGUGGAGUCCUUUGUGUUUAAAGAUACUGCUUAAACGUAAACCAUUGUCCUUUGAUAUCAAGUAUGCAAGGUUUGAUCAACAGAGUGGUCUGAGAAACAACAACAGCCUUCAGCUGAGAUGCAAUCACUCAAGUCCUGACUUAGAAGUGGGCUGGCGGUUUCGCUAUCGGAGCCCUGUGCGUUGUGGCAAACGGGCAAAUCCAAACAACAAAACUUUCGGCUGCGCUCUGACAGGAUUUUCUGUGAAAACCCACCCUUCGGCCUGCCUUAUCCUCUCCUUGAAACAUGUGGGGUGUGAGAUGGUGUGGGAAAGGCGGAAAAAAUAUAUACAUAUGUCAGUACCUGAGGCCAGCAUCUUGGCAUUGGUGCCAUGGGGGCCCGGAGAGACAGUUGAGCCCUGAGUGACAGUUGAAACACCUGUUGCUGUCUGUAACGGCCACGCCCGGGGCGGGCUUCUCCACACCGCCGGCCCCAGAUUUUAAAUACACAAAUCCUUUUUUCUUUUGUCCCCCACAUUUUGCCGAGCCAACGAACUCUGGGGAAGGAGGGGACCAAACGCAGGAGAGGGAGAAGCCACCAACGCCGAAAUCCUGUUUCUGAACAAGCCCCGAGCAGAGCGGCGAUUCGGAGGGGAGCCUGAACUCCCUGACGGCUGCGUGGCUCGGGUCCAAGCAGCAUGAGGGAAAAAUCGACGCUGGCCUCCGAUGUAGCUUCUCACAGAGAUCGUCGGCAAAAUCUGGAGGCAGUUUCUGUUCAAGCGGUGUAGGAAUAACUCAUCCAGCUUUGGAAGAGCAAGCAGAGAGAAUUCCUGAGAGGGUGCAGAAAUUCAAGUCCGAGGAGCAGAGGAGUUGUGGAGGAAGGCAUGAACCUGACAGUUAUGGAUCUGCAUCCUGUUCAUGUGGCUGGGAUCUCAGAGGCAUUACAUGACUGCAGCACUUGACACACUGCCAUGAGGCUCGUCCGGUAAAGCUCUAGUUGUGGAUGGAAGGAAGGAAAUCAAUGAAUCACCAAGAAUCAGUGCACAGCCCUUCCUGCAUUCUUUUGAGAGGUUCCACUAGGCCUCUGACUAAUAGGGUGCCUCAGUGACUCACCCCAGGGCCUCCCAGCCAAACAACAUAAUCCCAGAAAAAUGAAAGUGUUUCUAACACCAACUGCUAUUAAAGGACUGAAGUGCAGGAGUACCCAACACCAAAAGUAAGGAGUGGUUGCUAUGUACUGC
This is a long non-coding RNA of Dromaius novaehollandiae (emu), 1538 nucleotides long. RefSeq lists it as uncharacterized. The transcript is spliced from 7 exons. The record is from RefSeq and is a predicted model, not a curated record. Lineage: Eukaryota; Metazoa; Chordata; Aves; Casuariiformes; Dromaiidae.